This 464-nucleotide ribosomal RNA is filed under the name Vreelandella stevensii. Its description in RNAcentral is "partial 16S ribosomal RNA". It matches the Rfam family "Bacterial small subunit ribosomal RNA", at positions 338 to 795 of the family's 1533-position model. Lineage: Bacteria; Pseudomonadati; Pseudomonadota; Gammaproteobacteria; Oceanospirillales; Halomonadaceae. The record is from RNAcentral.
CCUACGGGGGGCUGCAGUGGGGAAUAUUGGACAAUGGGCGAAAGCCUGAUCCAGCCAUGCCGCGUGUGUGAAGAAGGCCUUCGGGUUGUAAAGCACUUUCAGUGGGGAAGAAAGCCUUGGGGCUAAUACCCUCGAGGAAGGACAUCACCCACAGAAGAAGCACCGGCUAACUCCGUGCCAGCAGCCGCGGUAAUACGGAGGGUGCGAGCGUUAAUCGGAAUUACUGGGCGUAAAGCGCGCGUAGGCGGUCUGAUAAGCCGGUUGUGAAAGCCCCGGGCUCAACCUGGGAACGGCAUCCGGAACUGUCAGGCUAGAGUGCAGGAGAGGAAGGUAGAAUUCCCGGUGUAGCGGUGAAAUGCGUAGAGAUCGGGAGGAAUACCAGUGGCGAAGGCGGCCUUCUGACUGACACUGACGCUGAGGUGCGAAAGCGUGGGUAGCAAACAGGAUUAGAUACCCGAGUAGUC